GGUGGAGAAUGUAACGUAUCGAAACCUCGAUAGCGAUUAUCGAACUUUAAUCAAAUUGGUUAAAGUGUCGAGAGCUAUGGUUAGGCGAGUCCUAUUUAGCAUUCCAACAAUAUUGGAAGGGCUAAAAAUGGGUUCCAAAAGAGUUAGAAUGGUUUUGGUGUCGAGCGGCGCGAGUUAGAGUCGAAUCGAGCCAAAAAUCGAAGUCUGGAGCAAGUGUACCGGUAUAGGGGCGUAUCUGUACCGGUACAGAUACGCA
This 256-nucleotide long non-coding RNA is filed under the name Ananas comosus (pineapple). Its description in RNAcentral is "long non-coding RNA (ACOM_LNC012152)". The record is from RNAcentral. Lineage: Eukaryota; Viridiplantae; Streptophyta; Magnoliopsida; Poales; Bromeliaceae.